GCCCGCAGGAGGGAGCCACACGGGGUCCAGGCCCAGGCCCUGCGCUGGCUGCUGCAGCCUGUGGGCCGUCUGUCCUCCCGACAGACAGAGAGGCGGGUUCGCCUGGGCCCGAGUUGCGGGUCGUCCGAGCCGCUGCUUUGAGCCCACGAGGCAGUUUCUCCCAGCGGGAGCCUGCGUCUUGCCUGCCCCUGGCCCAGUUCCCAAGCUCCAGUGGUUUCUCCCGGCUCUGCCUUCCCACUCUUUCAACCCCCGUUGCUUCUGCUUCCUUGCAUUCGACUGUGUCGCCGCCAUAAAAUAGACCAGGGCGGCCGGAUCCCCGCGGCUCAGAACAUGAGAUUUCCUCCCCGGCGGUGGGAGGCCUGACGUCUGCUUAGGAACGGAGCACAGGGCGUCAGCGCACCUGCAGCCUCGAGACUGGGGACAGGAUGACCCCCCCAGACCCCAAGGUGCCUUCGCUCACAGCUGGACCUCCCCCACUGUUCCUGGAAGCUCGCCCAGAGCAUCUUUGGGCCACGGGAACCUGACCGGCCAGUGAAGCCCCCCCAAGGUUCCAAGCUUGAACUCGCGACACGGCCCUCCGGACUCUCGCGGCCGGCCCGGCUGCCCAGCGCAGGAUGUGGUGAGUGCGGCGGGAGACGAGGUCCGGCUCGCCCUGGGAAGCCUCUCCCGGGGUCAGGCUACGAAGACAGUCGCUUCCACCUGGCUGACCCCUCCCCGCCCUCCAGCGCCCUCCCCUGCGACAGAGCCUUGCUGGUUUCUUGUCUGGUUCCUCUUUCUCCUUCUGUGUAAGAAAGGACCCAAGGUUUUCCUUGAGGAGCCCUCCUAGCCACUGCUAGCCUUGUGUUUAGGGGGACCUGCCCCCGAGGGAGGGCUGGAGAGUAGAGCCAAUGCCCCGUGCCCCGUGAUCGGGGCAGGUGUGGACGCGUGACCUGCGUGGACAGUUAGAGAGGCUCCCGGCUGCCCCUGGAGGGGGUCUGGGAAGCCGCGUGCUGAGCCGACGGGGGUCACAUUGCCGCCACGUGGAGCCCGAGGAAGCAGCAGGUGAGCCGCCGAGCAGAGAGGGCGUGGAGGCACCAUUGGAUCCCUGGAUCCAGCUGUACCUGCAUCCGGCCACCAGACCAACGGCACCUGGAUCUUUUUUAUGUUUAAAAAAGUAGACUUUAAUUUUUAGAUCAUUUUCGGCUCACCGCAAGAUUGGGGGGCAGGUACAGAGAGUUCCCGUGGGUCCCUGUCCCAGCAAGCACAGUCCCCUGCUUUCAACAUCCCCACCAGAGUGCACUUGACACAUCGCUGUCCCCAAAGCCCACAGUUUAUGUUCCAUGUCAUCUUGCUGUCGUGCACCAUUGCGGCUUUGGACAGAUGUGCAAUGACGUGUGUCCGUUCUCAAGAGUCACACGGACUAGCUUCACUGCCCUGAACCCUCUGUGCUGACAGUCCCUCCCGUCCCCCCGGCCCCUGGCCCCCACUUGUCUUUUACCGUCUCCACGGUUUUGCCUUUUCCAGAAUGUCACAGACUUGGAAUCAUACCGUGCGUAGCCUUUUCAGACUGGUUUCUUUUACCUCGUAAUAUACAUUUAGGGUCCCUCCAGGUCUUUUCACGGCUCGACAGCCCGUUCCUACUUAGUGCCGACCCACAUCCCGUUGUCUGGAUGGACCACAGGUUGUCCGUUCACCUGCUGACAGACACCUCGGCUGUUCCAGGGUUUGGGGGCUCUGAAUGAAGCCGCUGUGAACACCCGUGUGCAGGUUGUCGUGUGGACAUCAUUUUCUUUUCUUUUUCUU
Long non-coding RNA from Acinonyx jubatus (cheetah), 1782 nucleotides. RefSeq lists it as uncharacterized. NCBI's taxonomy places the organism in Eukaryota, Metazoa, Chordata, Mammalia, Carnivora, Felidae. The transcript is spliced from 3 exons. The record is from RefSeq and is a predicted model, not a curated record.